This 1331-nucleotide long non-coding RNA is filed under the name Apteryx haastii (Great spotted kiwi). RNAcentral describes it as "lncRNA (ENSAHAG00000013914.1)". Lineage: Eukaryota; Metazoa; Chordata; Aves; Apterygiformes; Apterygidae. The record is from RNAcentral.
CCUCGGAUUUGCAUGGCUCCGCCCCCGGAACGGGACUCUCCCCAGGGGCCCCGCCCCUCGUGGUGGCCGCUCCGCCCCCUUCCAGAUCAGCCCGUUUGGUCAGGUUUACAUUUACUUAGCAUUUCUCAGCUUCUUUUAGGCUUUUAGUACCGUUUUUACACCACGGGAUGAGCAAAUAGGUUUAAAACACCGCGUAACUCAGGGAAAGAACAGAGUCUUGGGGCAGCUAUGCGGUACGAACUGAGUAAUUUCCCUGAUCCUGGGAGGAAACARGCAUACCUGGCGCGGCUUCACUUCGCGGUGCUAAUCUGCUCUGCCUCAUAUCCUCUGCUCUCAGCGCAGCCGGCACUUUAGGAUCGGCCUUGUAGCGCGAUGUGAGCGCCUCUCUGUUUCUUAAUCUCUUUUAGCUCGAGCAUCCCAUGAUUUUUAAUCAGUUCAAUCUGCAGGUUAAGGUACUAACUGCUGCUUUUAAAAGAAAUACCUCACAGAGGCUCCUAGCCUGUCAGAGAAAGGGCGGGCAGGCAGAUGAGAAGAGACCGGGGGAACCGCAGGGCUGCGGCGCCGCCUCACCACAGCGCCGCGACCCCUCUUCCCGCCGAUUUCCCAACGGUCGCCGGGGGGGGGACAGGGGGCGCUCGCGCCUUCCCCCCACACUGCGCCUGCGCGCCCCCUCUUCCCGCCAAUUGCGGGGGGGGGCGCCGCGGGCGCCUGCGCGUGUCGCCUCGCGCCCUCCCCUCCCACUGCGCCUGCGCGCCGCCUUUCCCGCUCCCUCCCUCACCGCUCCCUAGCGUCGGUCCACAGGAUGGCGCAUGCGCGCGGGGAAAGGCCGUAGUGCGCACGCGCUCCUCUGUCUCCCAGCAUGCACCGGGGCGGCGACCUAUUUAAGCGCUCAGGCGGGGCUGCUUCGGCCAUUUCCUUGCUGUUGCUGUAUGGGGAGGGUGAGUGUGUCCGGGCGUUGCCUGCUCCUGGGGCUGUUCGGGGGUCGCUCUGCGCGGAACGAGCCGUUCCUAGCGGCCGUUUCCUUCUCUCCUGAGGUUUUCAGACGUUUAAGGGGAAGCUCUGCCAGAGUCCUUGUGUUCUCAGCGUGUGGAACUGGUCAGCCAUGUGCAUCUGUGGUUCCUUCGCAGCGUUGUGCUCAGAGUCUCUGGGAGUGGCCUGGGUGUCUCCCUCUGCAGCCCCGUCGCCGGCAGCAUGAGGAAAUGGAGCCUGAAGCUGCGCUCGGACUGCUGCCAGCCUGAUCCCAGCUGCGUGGGAUGAAAGCUGUUGGCUGGGGGUGUCCGGCAAAGCUCCGAGCAGCCUGGAGCGGCUGCGCUGGAUGGUGUUUGACGGAG